CACCACUGCAAGAGGGGAAGUUGCUACUGUGAUGAAUUCUGCCAUGUGGUACCAGACUGCUACCCAGACCACAGUGUCCUCUGCAACCCUCGUAACUCACAUACAGGCCUGAUUCCACCUACAGCAAAGCUGGAUGCUAUGGUUGGCAGAGGCAAACCCUUUGCCUGCACUUCAGGCCAAAGCCGGGAUGUGGCCUAGAUGGUUCCUAAGGUCCCUGACAAUCCUGAGAUCUUGCAUCUUGUCUAUUUCAGGUCAAAGGUGCCUACAUGUUCCUUCUAGCUUUGUUUCCCUGAUGUUCCUUGCCACCUGCUACUCCUCUCUGAGCUACUUUUCCAGGUUCCACAGGGAGAGGUUCAGCUGUCCGUGGUAGACAUGAGGGUAGAGAAUGAGGUGGUUGGGUUCCACUUACCUUUCUAUCAUCUUGCAGUAUGGAUGUCUCUUGACUGGUACCAUGUAGACUUUUGAGGGCACACAGGAGUCUGCAGAGAGAUACUGGGGACAUUGAGUAGCAGCGGUGGGGUUGGGAGGCAGAAAUGAGGACAGGAACAUUUACCUUGUGUUUCUCUCAGCUUCUCAGAUGACCAAGAUGGUGCUGCAGAUGGUGCUGAGGAUGGAGAACCCACCAAGCCCCGCUAGGAGCCACCUAGACUGGAUGUAGAGCAUGAGAAGGCUUCUAAUGACUUGAGCCCCUUUAAAGGAUUCGGAACAAAGGGGCCACUCACCCCUUCCAGGGUGCUCUUUUUUCUUUAUGGAGUUUCAAGAGUGAUGGGCGGAUUCUUCUUAGGUCUAAAGCUCUGUCUUCCUGUAUGGCAUGACGUGACCUCUUUGGCUUUGGAGGAACCAGAGAUGACCCUGCACUGUGAGAGGAUUUGACCUUGGCGUGUGUAAUGGCAGACGAGAACUACAGAGAAGGGGUGGCUGAGCACAGUUUACAGGGAAUGGUCUUGGCUGUUUUUUUUUUUUUUUUUUUCUCUUCUAGGAAGCUGUGAUUUAAGGAUCCUAAUUCUAGUUCAGAGAUGCAUCCUAAAGGGUCUUCUCUAUUGCUUUUUCUCCCAAAAUGAAUCUCA
RNAcentral lists this long non-coding RNA (1067 nucleotides) under Pan troglodytes (chimpanzee). RNAcentral describes it as "lincRNA". The record is from RNAcentral. Lineage: Eukaryota; Metazoa; Chordata; Mammalia; Primates; Hominidae.